Molecule: ribosomal RNA, 497 nt
Filed under: uncultured bacterium
Lineage: Bacteria
Description: partial 16S ribosomal RNA
Rfam family: Bacterial small subunit ribosomal RNA
Source: RNAcentral
GAUGAACGCUGGCGGCGUGCCUAAUACAUGCAAGUCGAGCGAACAGACGAGGAGCUUGCUCCUCUGACGUUAGCGGCGGACGGGUGAGUAACACGUGGAUAACCUACCUAUAAGACUGGGAUAACUUCGGGAAACCGGAGCUAAUACCGGAUAAUAUAUUUAACCGCAUGGUUCAAUAGUGAAAGACGGUUUUGCUGUCACUUAUAGAUGGAUCCGCGCCGCAUUAGCUAGUUGGUAAGGUAACGGCUUACCAAGGCCACGAUGCGUAGCCGACCUGAGAGGGUGAUCGGCCACACUGGAACUGAGACACGGUCCAGACUCCUACGGGAGGCAGCAGUAGGGAAUCUUCCGCAAUGGGCGAAAGCCUGACGGAGCAACGCCGCGUGAGUGAUGAAGGUCUUCGGAUCGUAAAACUCUGUUAUUAGGGAAGAACAAAUGUGUAAGUAACUAUGCACGUCUUGACGGUACCUAAUCAGAAAGCCACGGCUAACUACGUG